GACGAACGCUGGCGGCGUGCUUAACACAUGCAAGUCGAACGGAAAGGCCCUGCUUUUGUGGGGUGCUCGAGUGGCGAACGGGUGAGUAACACGUGAGUAACCUGCCCUUGACUUUGGGAUAACUUCAGGGAACUGGGGCUAAUACCGGAUAGGAGCUCCUGCUGCAUGGUGGGGGUUGGAAAGUUUCGGCGGUUGGGGAUGGACUCGCGGCUUAUCAGCUUGUUGGUGGGGUAGUGGCUUACCAAGGCUUUGACGGGUAGCCGGCCUGAGAGGGUGACCGGCCACAUUGGGACUGAGAUACGGCCCAGACUCCUACGGGAGGCAGCAGUGGGGAAUAUUGCACAAUGGGCGGAAGCCUGAUGCAGCAACGCCGCGUGCGGGAUGACGGCCUUCGGGUUGUAAACCGCUUUCGCCUGUGACGAAGCGUGAGUGACGGUAAUGGGUAAAGAAGCACCGGCUAACUACGUGCCAGCAGCCGCGGUGAUACGUAGGGUGCGAGCGUUGUCCGGAUUUAUUGGGCGUAAAGGGCUCGUAGGUGGUUGAUCGCGUCGGAAGUGUAAUCUUGGGGCUUAACCCUGAGCGUGCUUUCGAUACGGGUUGACUUGAGGAAGGUAGGGGAGAAUGGAAUUCCUGGUGGAGCGGUGGAAUGCGCAGAUAUCAGGAGGAACACCAGUGGCGAAGGCGGUUCUCUGGGCCUUUCCUGACGCUGAGGAGCGAAAGCGUGGGGAGCGAACAGGCUUAGAUACCCUGGUAGUCCACGCUGUAAACGGUGGGUACUAGGUGUGGGGUCCAUUCCACGGGUUCCGUGCCGUAGCUAACGCUUUAAGUACCCCGCCUGGGGAGUACGGCCGCAAGGCUAAAACUCAAAGGAAUUGACGGGGCCCCGCACAAGCGGCGGAGCAUGCGGAUUAAUUCGAUGCAACGCGUAGAACCUUACCUGGGUUUGACAUGGAUCGGGAGUGCUCAGAGAUGGGUGUGCCUCUUUUGGGGUCGGUUCACAGGUGGUGCAUGGCUGUCGUCAGCUCGUGUCGUGAGAUGUUGGGUUAAGUCCCGCAACGAGCGCAACCCUUGUUCACUGUUGCCAGCACGUUAUGGUGGGGACUCAGUGGAGACCGCCGGGGUCAACUCGGAGGAAGGUGGGGAUGACGUCAAGUCAUCAUGCCCCUUAUGUCCAGGGCUUCACGCAUGCUACAAUGGCUGGUACAGAGAGUGGCGAGCCUGUGAGGGUGAGCGAAUCUCGGAAAGCCGGUCUCAGUUCGGAUUGGGGUCUGCAACUCUACCUCAUGAAGUCGGAGUCGCUAGUAAUCGCAGAUCAGCAACGCUGCGGUGAAUACGUUCCCGGG
RNAcentral lists this ribosomal RNA (1343 nucleotides) under uncultured bacterium. Its description in RNAcentral is "16S ribosomal RNA". It matches the Rfam family "Bacterial small subunit ribosomal RNA", at positions 28 to 1378 of the family's 1533-position model. The record is from RNAcentral.